CCUACGGGAGACAGCAGUGAGGAAUAUUGGUCAAUGGACGAGAGUCUGAACCAGCCAAGUAGCGUGAAGGAUGACUGCCCUAUGGGUUGUAAACUUCUUUUAUAUGGGAAUAAAAUGUUCCACGUGUGGGAUUUUGUAUGUACCAUAUGAAUAAGGAUCGGCUAACUCCGUGCCAGCAGCCGCGGUAAUACGGAGGAUCCGAGCGUUAUCCGGAUUUAUUGGGUUUAAAGGGAGCGUAGGUGGAUUGUUAAGUCAGUUGUGAAAGUUUGCGGCUCAACCGUAAAAUUGCAGUUGAAACUGGCAGUCUUGAGUACAGUAGAGGUGAGCGGAAUUCGUGGUGUAGCGGUGAAAUGCUUAGAUAUCACGAAGAACUCCGAUUGCGAAGGCAGUUCACUGGACUGCAACUGACACUGAGGCUCGAAAGUGUGGGUAUCAAACAGGAUUAGAUACCCCAGUAGUC
Molecule: ribosomal RNA, 460 nt
Filed under: uncultured bacterium
Lineage: Bacteria
Description: partial 16S ribosomal RNA
Rfam family: Bacterial small subunit ribosomal RNA
Source: RNAcentral